RNAcentral lists this ribosomal RNA (130 nucleotides) under uncultured Sphingomonas sp. RNAcentral describes it as "partial 16S ribosomal RNA". It matches the Rfam family "Bacterial small subunit ribosomal RNA", at positions 334 to 481 of the family's 1533-position model. Lineage: Bacteria; Pseudomonadati; Pseudomonadota; Alphaproteobacteria; Sphingomonadales; Sphingomonadaceae. The record is from RNAcentral.
UACUCCUACGGGAGGCAGCAGUGGGGAAUAUUGGACAAUGGGCGAAAGCCUGAUCCAGCAAUGCCGCGUGAGUGAUGAAGGCCUUAGGGUUGUAAAGCUCUUUUACCCGGGAUGAUAAUGACAGUACCGG